GGAGCUUGCUCCUUUGACGUUAGCGGCGGACGGGUGAGUAACACGUGGGUAACCUACCUAUAAGACUGGGAUAACUUCGGGAAACCGGAGCUAAUACCGGAUAACAUUUGGAACCGCAUGGUUCUAAAGUGAAAGAUGGUUUUGCUAUCACUUAUAGAUGGACCCGCGCCGUAUUAGCUAGUUGGUAAGGUAACGGCUUACCAAGGCGACGAUACGUAGCCGACCUGAGAGGGUGAUCGGCCACACUGGAACUGAGACACGGUCCAGACUCCUACGGGAGGCAGCAGUAGGGAAUCUUCCGCAAUGGGCGAAAGCCUGACGGAGCAACGCCGCGUGAGUGAUGAAGGGUUUCGGCUCGUAAAACUCUGUUAUUAGGGAAGAACAAAUGUGUAAGUAACUGUGCANNNCUUGACGGUACCUAAUCAGAAAGCCACGGCUAACUACGUGCCAGC
This 452-nucleotide ribosomal RNA is filed under the name Staphylococcus saprophyticus. RNAcentral's name for it is "bacterial SSU rRNA". It matches the Rfam family "Bacterial small subunit ribosomal RNA", at positions 75 to 512 of the family's 1533-position model. Lineage: Bacteria; Bacillati; Bacillota; Bacilli; Caryophanales; Staphylococcaceae. The record is from RNAcentral.